CUUGUACUCCCUCCGUCCGAAUAUACUUGUCAUUGAAAUGGAUGUAUCUAGAUGUAUUUUAGUUCUAGACACAUCCAUUUUGAUGACAAGUAAUUCCAGACGGAGGGAGUACUUG
Molecule: non-coding RNA, 115 nt
Organism: Triticum aestivum (bread wheat)
Lineage: Eukaryota; Viridiplantae; Streptophyta; Magnoliopsida; Poales; Poaceae
Source: Rfam